UUUCUAAGGAUGGUCUUCAGAAGCUUGCUUCUAUCGAACCGUUUUAGAAACAUCAGUGGCCAACGAUCGUCAGGAUCGUUGAGCUGCAUUGGCGGGAUUUCGCCGUCUUCGUUUCUCUUUCUUCGCGGACGAACACGCGCUGGGCCUGCGAGAGCAGGGUCCCUGGUCCUUGACGGGAUAUGCGUUAGGGGCUUGUAGCUCAGUUGGUUAGAGCGCGCGCUUGAUAAGCGUGAGGUCGGAAGUUCAAGUCUUCCCAGGCCCACCACACUCAUCGGGUAAGCAUUCGUCUUCUGGUUACGGGGCCAUAGCUCAGCUGGGAGAGCGCGUGCUUUGCAAGCAUGAGGUCGUCGGUUCGAUCCCGUCUGGCUCCACCAGAUGGUUUGAUCACCGACGCUGUGUUUGCAGCUAUUCAACCGUCGUCCGCGAAACAUCACUUCGCACCUACUAGUCUGGAUAGACAGUAGGUUGCGUGAUUUCUGACAUCGUAAAGAGGAGAUCGAUCCGAGUUGGAUCGGGCAGCAAGCAAUUGCUGCGCGAACCUUCAUUAUCUCCGGAUCAUUUCGGCGCUCGCGCGCCUUUCAAUGCGGCUCACAAGGCUGCGUCUGAAGGGAAUGCGGGUUGUAAAUGAUCCUUUUAGCGAAGCUUGACCGCCUCGCUAUCGGAACGAUCUUACGAAGCAAGCUGGUCUUUCUAAUCAUUGUCCGGCUGUACGUAGCGUUCAUCGAGGGCGCGUGCCGCAAGGCAAUCGUACAGACAACAUUCUGCCGAGUGUGUGGACAUUGAUAAUGAGAGCAAUCAAGUGCCUUAAGGUGUUC
This 815-nucleotide transfer RNA is filed under the name Bradyrhizobium japonicum. RNAcentral's name for it is "partial 16S-23S intergenic spacer". The stretch from base 189 to 262 matches the Rfam family "tRNA". The record is from RNAcentral. Lineage: Bacteria; Pseudomonadati; Pseudomonadota; Alphaproteobacteria; Hyphomicrobiales; Nitrobacteraceae.